UGAAAGUUAGCAAAAAAACUUGUUGUAAAAGAGCUAAUUAAUAACAGAGCUCAGGGUGCUUAAGAAGCUGAGUCUAUGGAGACUGAAGAAAGUAUUUUUAAACCCAUUCUGGAGCUGCAGUUAUUAACAAAUGGUUGAUCUUCACAGAAAUCAUCCUGUGGUUGCUUCCACUCUGUUUCCCACAGUGACCUCAGCAGCAAAGGGAAGCAAAUCAGAAGAGUAUUGAAAAAUCAAAAUAAAACCAAAAUAAAAAUAAUUAGUAUAGCCUAUCGAGGUACUUGUCAUGUCUGUGCACUUACAGCUGAGCUGAGUUUUACAUUCAAAAUAACAAUCCAAUGGCAUUUGCUAUUGUUUUUUUUUAAUGUAGAAGAGGCACGGUUUUCACGAAGACUUACAGCACAACUAUAAGAGCACACAGUGAAUUUCCUGAGAAUUUACAACCUUGGUAGUGGAUUAAUCCAGACCUUCAUCAUAUUCAGAGAUUGCAAGGAUCUGCAUUGACAACAUCUGAAGAGGAUGCUAUGAGGAACAUCUGAAGAUACCUGAGAAGCCCCCAGCUAGAACGGCCCUUUCACUUCCCACCAGGAGGGACAAUUCGCUGCAGUUCUUCUGUGAACAGAGGGAAGCAGGUGCUGCUCUGAGUGAUGAAUCUCCUAACUGUGUGCAGACGGAUCAGUCCCACUGAGAACUGCCUUGUUGCGUUGUCGUGGGAGAGAAAAAAUGUUAUGCUUAACAUCAUUUAAGGCUAACCUGACAUCACAAACGUUCAGAGGCUUUGAUUAUUGCAUGAGAUCAUUGCAGUAAAAGGAGAAGACAGCAUUAAACAAUUAGGCAUGUAGUACAGAUGUAAUUACUUGGGAUACAGGAGAUAGCAAUAUAUGCUUUGUCAAAUCAGUAGGAAAAGGAUGCAGCUGUUGUACGCAGCCCCUGCUGAAGGUAAUACAAUGAUUGUGAUAAUGCCUAUAUAAUCUUCAGAAAUGUAAUAUUGCAAUUCUAUUCAUCCUCUUUCUACUAAGAAUCUCAAAGAAUUUAAUGACUUCAAUAAAUUAAGAUUCUCCUUCUGUUCAGAUCAGGAAAAUAUUUUACGACUAGAUCCACUUCUUUACAGAGAACAUCAGAACAGAGAAAAUCAGCAGAAUUUUUGUUUAGUUUGAUGGAUUUAUCUCAGAGACUUUCUACACCAUUAGGAUAAUGAAAAAAAAGGAGAAGCCAAACACAUUCAGGUUCUACAAAGGCACUGUUUGUAUGCUUGCAUAACGAACAUACAACUUAAAACUUCAAACUGUAAACUAAUAACCCUCUCAGAAAGUAUUUGUUCCAUCCACGUGUAGAGACCCAACAGUGGGUUGGGUCAUCUUUCUCUGAAUCAUUAGGUUUUGACCAUUGUUUGGGCAGUGUAUGGCAUGUGAUAGAUGUCUGGUCCAAUACAGCCAAUCCCAUGUACAAACAGUUAGAUAGAAUGUCUCCAGUAUCUUACCCUUAGGUGCAUGAAAAGCAAUUAUUGGGGCACAUUCAUGCACUGAGACAGUUUUAGAAGUUUGUCUACAUCUUAAGAUAAUCCCUGCAUCAACUGCAAGGUUAAGGAGUGUGUUUCCAUGCCAGAACUCAGCUGGAACUUGAAAGAGCUGUGACCUGGAAACACAAUGUUGCUACUUACGUAGCUGGAUUUUUUAAAAAUAAAAUUUAAAAAGAAGAGAUGUCAGAGCUCUGAGGGUUGAAGAUUUUACUCUAAGGGUUACUGGUGAAUUUGUCGUGAUGAGACAAUAAAAAAAGAAUUGGGGAACUAAAAAGAGAAGUAUAGAGAACGCGAGGCAUACAGUGCCUCAGGGAAAAGAAUGGCAUGUAAUUAUAACCGCACGCUGCUCUGAAAAGAUAAAGCUGCAUGUAAAAAGGUUAUAGGCUCAGGGAAAGGGAGGAAAGAUGGAUCUUGGAACUCCAAAAGAGGGG
Lagopus muta (rock ptarmigan) is the source of this 1947-nucleotide long non-coding RNA. RefSeq lists it as uncharacterized. The transcript has 3 exons. The record is from RefSeq and is a predicted model, not a curated record. NCBI's taxonomy places the organism in Eukaryota, Metazoa, Chordata, Aves, Galliformes, Phasianidae.